RNAcentral lists this unclassified non-coding RNA (145 nucleotides) under uncultured fungus. RNAcentral describes it as "sequence contains ITS1, 5.8S rRNA gene". RNAcentral also lists the same sequence under 1 other name. Lineage: Eukaryota; Fungi. The record is from RNAcentral.
CCGAGUGAGGGCCCCCGGCCCGACCUCCAACCCUUUGUGAAUUGACCCUGUUGCCUCGGGGGACGCCGGCGCUCUCGGGCGCCGGGCCCCCGGUGGACCCCAUAACUCUGCGUCUUUGCGUCCGAGUCUAAUGAUGAAUCAAUCA